This 500-nucleotide ribosomal RNA is filed under the name uncultured bacterium. RNAcentral describes it as "partial 16S ribosomal RNA". It matches the Rfam family "Bacterial small subunit ribosomal RNA", at positions 30 to 523 of the family's 1533-position model. The record is from RNAcentral.
AUUGAACGCUGGCGGCAUGCCUUACACAUGCAAGUCGAACGGCAGCACGGGAGCAAUCCUGGUGGCGAGUGGCGAACGGGUGAGUAAAGUAUCGGAACGUGCCCAGUCGUGGGGGAUAACGUAGCGAAAGUUACGCUAAUACCGCAUACGAUCUAUGGAUGAAAGCGGGGGAUCGCAAGACCUCGCGCGAUUGGAGCGGCCGAUAUCAGAUUAGGUAGUUGGUGGGGUAAAGGCUCACCAAGCCGACGAUCUGUAGCUGGUCUGAGAGGACGACCAGCGACACUGGGACUGAGACACGGCCCAGACUCCUACGGGAGGCAGCAGUGGGGAAUUUUGGACAAUGGGCGAAAGCCUGAUCCAGCAAUGCCGCGUGCAGGAAGAAGGCCUUCGGGUUGUAAACUGCUUUUGUACGGAGCGAAAAGGUCUCCUCUAAUACAGGGGGCUCAUGACGGUACCGUAAGAAUAAGCACCGGCUAACUACGUGCCAGCAGCCGCCGUAA